This 2900-nucleotide ribosomal RNA is filed under the name Escherichia coli 3-073-06_S4_C2. Its description in RNAcentral is "bacterial LSU rRNA". It matches the Rfam family "Bacterial large subunit ribosomal RNA". The record is from RNAcentral. Lineage: Bacteria; Pseudomonadati; Pseudomonadota; Gammaproteobacteria; Enterobacterales; Enterobacteriaceae.
UAAGCGACUAAGCGUACACGGUGGAUGCCCUGGCAGUCAGAGGCGAUGAAGGACGUGCUAAUCUGCGAUAAGCGUCGGUAAGGUGAUAUGAACCGUUAUAACCGGCGAUUUCCGAAUGGGGAAACCCAGUGUGAUUCGUCACACUAUCAUUAACUGAAUCCAUAGGUUAAUGAGGCGAACCGGGGGAACUGAAACAUCUAAGUACCCCGAGGAAAAGAAAUCAACCGAGAUUCCCCCAGUAGCGGCGAGCGAACGGGGAGCAGCCCAGAGCCUGAAUCAGUGUGUGUGUUAGUGGAAGCGUCUGGAAAGGCGUGCGAUACAGGGUGACAGCCCCGUACACAAAAAUGCACAUAUUGUGAGCUCGAUGAGUAGGGCGGGACACGUGGUAUCCUGUCUGAAUAUGGGGGGACCAUCCUCCAAGGCUAAAUACUCCUGACUGACCGAUAGUGAACCAGUACCGUGAGGGAAAGGCGAAAAGAACCCCGGCGAGGGGAGUGAAAAAGAACCUGAAACCGUGUACGUACAAGCAGUGGGAGCACGCUUAGGCGUGUGACUGCGUACCUUUUGUAUAAUGGGUCAGCGACUUAUAUUCUGUAGCAAGGUUAACCGAAUAGGGGAGCCGAAGGGAAACCGAGUCUUAACUGGGCGUUAAGUUGCAGGGUAUAGACCCGAAACCCGGUGAUCUAGCCAUGGGCAGGUUGAAGGUUGGGUAACACUAACUGGAGGACCGAACCGACUAAUGUUGAAAAAUUAGCGGAUGACUUGUGGCUGGGGGUGAAAGGCCAAUCAAACCGGGAGAUAGCUGGUUCUCCCCGAAAGCUAUUUAGGUAGCGCCUCGUGAAUUCAUCUCCGGGGGUAGAGCACUGUUUCGGCAAGGGGGUCAUCCCGACUUACCAACCCGAUGCAAACUGCGAAUACCGGAGAAUGUUAUCACGGGAGACACACGGCGGGUGCUAACGUCCGUCGUGAAGAGGGAAACAACCCAGACCGCCAGCUAAGGUCCCAAAGUCAUGGUUAAGUGGGAAACGAUGUGGGAAGGCCCAGACAGCCAGGAUGUUGGCUUAGAAGCAGCCAUCAUUUAAAGAAAGCGUAAUAGCUCACUGGUCGAGUCGGCCUGCGCGGAAGAUGUAACGGGGCUAAACCAUGCACCGAAGCUGCGGCAGCGACGCUGAUGCGUUGUUGGGUAGGGGAGCGUUCUGUAAGCCUGUGAAGGUGUGCUGUGAGGCAUGCUGGAGGUAUCAGAAGUGCGAAUGCUGACAUAAGUAACGAUAAAGCGGGUGAAAAGCCCGCUCGCCGGAAGACCAAGGGUUCCUGUCCAACGUUAAUCGGGGCAGGGUGAGUCGACCCCUAAGGCGAGGCCGAAAGGCGUAGUCGAUGGGAAACAGGUUAAUAUUCCUGUACUUGGUGUUACUGCGAAGGGGGGACGGAGAAGGCUAUGUUGGCCGGGCGACGGUUGUCCCGGUUUAAGCGUGUAGGCUGGUUUUCCAGGCAAAUCCGGAAAAUCAAGGCUGAGGCGUGAUGACGAGGCACUACGGUGCUGAAGCAACAAAUGCCCUGCUUCCAGGAAAAGCCUCUAAGCAUCAGGUAACAUCAAAUCGUACCCCAAACCGACACAGGUGGUCAGGUAGAGAAUACCAAGGCGCUUGAGAGAACUCGGGUGAAGGAACUAGGCAAAAUGGUGCCGUAACUUCGGGAGAAGGCACGCUGAUAUGUAGGUGAAGUCCCUCGCGGAUGGAGCUGAAAUCAGUCGAAGAUACCAGCUGGCUGCAACUGUUUAUUAAAAACACAGCACUGUGCAAACACGAAAGUGGACGUAUACGGUGUGACGCCUGCCCGGUGCCGGAAGGUUAAUUGAUGGGGUUAGCGCAAGCGAAGCUCUUGAUCGAAGCCCCGGUAAACGGCGGCCGUAACUAUAACGGUCCUAAGGUAGCGAAAUUCCUUGUCGGGUAAGUUCCGACCUGCACGAAUGGCGUAAUGAUGGCCAGGCUGUCUCCACCCGAGACUCAGUGAAAUUGAACUCGCUGUGAAGAUGCAGUGUACCCGCGGCAAGACGGAAAGACCCCGUGAACCUUUACUAUAGCUUGACACUGAACAUUGAGCCUUGAUGUGUAGGAUAGGUGGGAGGCUUUGAAGUGUGGACGCCAGUCUGCAUGGAGCCGACCUUGAAAUACCACCCUUUAAUGUUUGAUGUUCUAACGUGGACCCGUAAUCCGGGUUGCGGACAGUGUCUGGUGGGUAGUUUGACUGGGGCGGUCUCCUCCUAAAGAGUAACGGAGGAGCACGAAGGUUGGCUAAUCCUGGUCGGACAUCAGGAGGUUAGUGCAAUGGCAUAAGCCAGCUUGACUGCGAGCGUGACGGCGCGAGCAGGUGCGAAAGCAGGUCAUAGUGAUCCGGUGGUUCUGAAUGGAAGGGCCAUCGCUCAACGGAUAAAAGGUACUCCGGGGAUAACAGGCUGAUACCGCCCAAGAGUUCAUAUCGACGGCGGUGUUUGGCACCUCGAUGUCGGCUCAUCACAUCCUGGGGCUGAAGUAGGUCCCAAGGGUAUGGCUGUUCGCCAUUUAAAGUGGUACGCGAGCUGGGUUUAGAACGUCGUGAGACAGUUCGGUCCCUAUCUGCCGUGGGCGCUGGAGAAUUGAGGGGGGCUGCUCCUAGUACGAGAGGACCGGAGUGGACGCAUCACUGGUGUUCGGGUUGUCAUGCCAAUGGCACUGCCCGGUAGCUAAAUGCGGAAGAGAUAAGUGCUGAAAGCAUCUAAGCACGAAACUUGCCCCGAGAUGAGUUCUCCCUGACUCCUUGAGAGUCCUGAAGGAACGUUGAAGACGACGACGUUGAUAGGCCGGGUGUGUAAGCGCAGCGAUGCGUUGAGCUAACCGGUACUAAUGAACCGUGAGGCUUAACCU